CCCUACGGGACGCAGCAGUGGGGAAUAUUGGGCAAUGGGCGCAAGCCUGACCCAGCAACGCCGCGUGAAGGAAGAAGGCCCUCGGGUUGUAAACUUCUUUUCUCAAGGACGAAACAAAUGACGGUACUUGAUGAAUAAGCCACGGCUAACUACGUGCCAGCAGCCGCGGUAAUACGUAGGUGGCAAGCGUUAUCCGGAUUUACUGGGUGUAAAGGGCGUGUAGGCGGGGCUGCA
This 234-nucleotide ribosomal RNA is filed under the name uncultured bacterium. RNAcentral describes it as "partial 16S ribosomal RNA". It matches the Rfam family "Bacterial small subunit ribosomal RNA", at positions 337 to 585 of the family's 1533-position model. The record is from RNAcentral.